UAAUACGGAGGGUCCAAGCGUUAUCCGGAAUCAUUGGGUUUAAAGGGUGCGUAGGCGGAAUGGUAAGUUAGUGGUGAAAUCCCCCGGCUCAACCGGGGAACUGCCAUUAAUACUGCCGUUCUUGAGUAUAGUUGAAGUGGGCGGAAUGUAUCAUGUAGCGGUGAAAUGCUUAGAUAUGAUACAGAACACCGAUAGCGUAGGCAGCUCGCUAAACUAUAACUGACGUUCAGGCACGAAAGCGUGGGGAGCAAACAGGAUUAGAUACCCUGGUAGUCCACGCCGUAAACGAUGAUCACUCGCUGUUGGCGAUACACAGUCAGCGGCAAAGGGAAACCAUUAAGUGAUCCACCUGGGGAGUACGGUCGCAAGAUUG
This 373-nucleotide ribosomal RNA is filed under the name uncultured Sphingobacteriia bacterium. Its description in RNAcentral is "bacterial SSU rRNA". It matches the Rfam family "Bacterial small subunit ribosomal RNA", at positions 521 to 896 of the family's 1533-position model. Lineage: Bacteria; Pseudomonadati; Bacteroidota; Sphingobacteriia. The record is from RNAcentral.